RNAcentral lists this ribosomal RNA (377 nucleotides) under Typhlops sp. SBH-2014a. RNAcentral's name for it is "partial 12S ribosomal RNA". It matches the Rfam family "Bacterial small subunit ribosomal RNA", at positions 866 to 1409 of the family's 1533-position model. The record is from RNAcentral. Lineage: Eukaryota; Metazoa; Chordata; Lepidosauria; Squamata; Typhlopidae.
GGCCCGCCAGAUUAUUACAAGUAAAAACUUAAAACUCAAAGGACUUGACGGUGUCCCACAUACAACCUAGAGGAGCCUGUCCUAUAAUCGAUGAUCCACGAAGGACCUCACCACCCUUUGCCCAACAACCUAUAUACCGCCGUCGAAAGUUCACCUUGUGAGAGAGAAAAAGUGAACAUAAUAGCUCAACACUAGCACGUCAGGUCAAGGUGUAGUUAAUAGGGUGGCCAGAGAUGGGCUACUUUUCCUAUGCAAGGAAAAACGAACGGUCAAAUGAAAACUAACCAGAAGGAGGAUUUAGUAGUAAAACAGGAUCAGAAAGCCUGCUUGAACACACUGCCCUGGGACGCGUACACCCCGCCCGUCCCCCCCAUCAA